RNAcentral lists this ribosomal RNA (59 nucleotides) under Microcystis aeruginosa Ma_MB_F_20061100_S19. RNAcentral describes it as "partial 23S ribosomal RNA". The record is from RNAcentral. Lineage: Bacteria; Bacillati; Cyanobacteriota; Cyanophyceae; Chroococcales; Microcystaceae.
GUUAUAGGAUCAAGCGAAUAAGUGCAUAUGGUGGAUGCCUUGGCGAUUACAGGCGAUGA